Molecule: ribosomal RNA, 487 nt
Filed under: uncultured bacterium
Lineage: Bacteria
Description: bacterial SSU rRNA
Rfam family: Bacterial small subunit ribosomal RNA
Source: RNAcentral
AACAAACGCUGGCGGCGUGCCUAACACAUGCAAGUCGAACGUGAAAGUUGGCUUCGGCCGAUGAGUAAAGUGGCGCACGGGUGAGUAACGCGUGGAUAAUCUGCCCUUCAGUUGGGAAUAACUCAUCGAAAGGUGAGCUAAUACCGAAUAAUACUGCUUGACCAUGGUCAGGUAGUCAAAGAUAGCCUCUGCUUGCAAGCUUUCGCUGAAAGAUGAGUCCGCGUACCAUUAGCUAGUUGGUGGGGUAAUGGCCUACCAAGGCGACGAUGGUUAGCUGGUCUGAGAGGAUGAUCAGCCACACUGGAACUGAGACACGGUCCAGACUCCUACGGGAGGCAGCAGUGAGGAAUCUUGCGCAAUGGGGGAAACCCUGACGCAGCAACGCCGCGUGAGUGAGGAAGGUCUUCGGAUCGUAAAGCUCUGUCGGGUGGAAAGAAAUGUAUGGGGUUAAUAGCUUCAUACUUGACGGUACCACCAAAGGAAGACG